Molecule: ribosomal RNA, 1404 nt
Filed under: metagenome
Description: bacterial LSU rRNA
Rfam family: Bacterial large subunit ribosomal RNA
Source: RNAcentral
CAAGUCCAAAAGGCGGGGUAGGAGCCAGGCUGGCAAAUCCGCCUGGCGAUCUGAAGACGUGAUGCGGACCGAAGCAUAAGUAGGGAAGCAUGUGAGCCAUGUAUCAAGAAAAGCCGCUAUUGUUCUUGCUGUACCCGUACCGUAAACCGACACAGGUGGAUGAGGAGAGAAUCCUAAGGCCGGCGGAAGAAGCAUUGUUAAGGAACUCGGCAAAAUGACCCCGUAACUUCGGGAGAAGGGGUGCCAUCGGAAGGUGGCCGCAGAGAAUAGGCUCAAGCAACUGUUUAGCAAAAACACAGGUCUAUGCGAAACCGAAAGGUGAUGUAUAUGGGCUGACGCCUGCCCGGUGCUGGAAGGUUAAGAGGAGAGGUUAGCGCAAGCGAAGCUUUGAAUUUAAGCCCCAGUAAACGGCGGCCGUAACUAUAACGGUCCUAAGGUAGCGAAAUUCCUUGUCGGGUAAGUUCCGACCCGCACGAAAGGCGUAAUGAUUUGAGCGCUGUCUCGACAAUGCAUCCGGUGAAAUUGAAGUACCAGUGAAGAUGCUGGUUACCCGCGCCAGGACGGAAAGACCCCAUGGAGCUUUACUCCAGUUUGGUACUGGGAUUCGGCAGUGCAUGUACAGGAUAGGUGGGAGGCUUUGAAGCAGGGACGCCAGUUUCUGCGGAGCCGCUGUUGGGAUACCACCCUUGUGCUGCUGGGUUUCUAACCGGAGGCCGUGAACCGGCCACGGGACAAUGCCAGACGGGGAGUUUGACUGGGGCGGUCGCCUCCGAAAGGGUAUCGGAGGCGCUCAAAGGUUCCCUCAGAAUGGUUGGAAACCAUUCGAAGAGCGCAAAGGCAGAAGGGGGCUUGACUGCGACACCGACGGGUGGAGCAGGUACGAAAGUAGGACUUAGUGAUCCGGUGGUAUAAAGUGGGAUUGCCAUCGCUCAACGGAUAAAAGCUACCCUGGGAUAACAGGCUUAUCACUCCCAAGAGUUCACAUCGACGGAGUGGUUUGGCACCUCGAUGUCGGCUCAUCGCAUCCUGGGGCUGUAGUAGGUCCCAAGGGUUGGGCUGUUCGCCCAUUAAAGCGGUACGCGAGCUGGGUUCAGAACGUCGUGAGACAGUUCGGUCCCUAUCCGGCGUGGGCGCAGGAUAUCUGAGAGGAGCUGUCCUUAGUACGAGAGGACCGGGAUGGACGGGCCGCUGGUGUACCUGUUGGUUUGCCAAAGCCAUGGCAGGGUAGCCAAGCCUGGAAGGGAUAAACGCUGAAGGCAUCUAAGCGUGAAGCCCCCCUCAAGAUGAGAUAUCCCAUUCUUUAGAGAAGUAAGACCCCUUGAAGACGACGAGGUAGAUAGGGCAGGGGUGGAAGUGCAGCAAUGCAUGGAGCUGACUGUUACUAAUCGGUCGAGGGCUUGACCU